Molecule: ribosomal RNA, 428 nt
Filed under: uncultured bacterium
Lineage: Bacteria
Description: bacterial SSU rRNA
Rfam family: Bacterial small subunit ribosomal RNA
Source: RNAcentral
AACGCGAAGAACCUUACCUACCCUUGACAUGGCUGGAAUCCUCGAGAGAUUGGGGAGUGCUCGAAAGAGAACCAGUACACAGGUGCUGCAUGGCUGUCGUCAGCUCGUGUCGUGAGAUGUUGGGUUAAGUCCCGCAACGAGCGCAACCCUUGUCAUUAGUUGCUACGAAAGGGCACUCUAAUGAGACUGCCGGUGACAAACCGGAGGAAGGUGGGGAUGACGUCAAGUCCUCAUGGCCCUUAUGGUGUAGGGCUCACACGUCAUACAAUGGUACAUACAGAGCGCCGCCAACCCGCGAGGGGGAGCUAAUCGCAUAAAGUGUAUCGUAGUCCGGAUUGUAGUCUGCAACUCGACUGCAUGAAGUUGGAAUCGCUAGUAAUCGCGGAUCAGCAUGUCGCGGUGAAUACGUUCCCGGGUCUUGUACACAC